GCAUAUCAAUAAGCGGAGGAAAAGAAACUAACAAGGAUUCCCCUAGUAACGGCGAGUGAAGCGGGAAGAGCUCAAAUUUAAAAUCUGGCGGUGUAUUCCGUCCGAGUUGUAGUCUAGAGAAGCAUCAUCCGCGCUGGACCAUGUACAAGUCUCUUGGAAUAGAGCGUCAUAGAGGGUGAGAAUCCCGUCCUUGACAUGGACUCCCAGUGCUUUGUGUUGUGCUCUCAACGAGUCGAGUUGUUUGGGAAUGCAGCUCAAAAUGGGUGGUAAAUUCCAUCUAAAGCUAAAUAUUGGCGAGAGACCGAUAGCGAACAAGUACCGUGAGGGAAAGAUGAAAAGCACUUUGGAGAGAGAGUUAAACAGUACGUGAAAUUGUUGAAAUGGAAACGCUUGAAGUCAGUCGCGUUCUCUGGGAUUCAGCCUUGCUUCUGCUUGGUGCAUUUCCUAGUCUACGGGCCAGCAUGAAUUUUGACCGUUGGAAAAAGGCAGGGGGAAUGUGGCACCUCCGGGUGUGUUAUAGCCCCUUGUCACACACGGCGGUUGGGAUUGAGGAUUCAGUGCACGCUUUUGUUGUGCUUUGAUGCUGGCGUAAUGGCUUAAACGACCC
This 607-nucleotide ribosomal RNA is filed under the name Ceratobasidium sp. RNAcentral describes it as "eukaryotic LSU rRNA". It matches the Rfam family "Eukaryotic large subunit ribosomal RNA", at positions 38 to 650 of the family's 3401-position model. The record is from RNAcentral. Lineage: Eukaryota; Fungi; Basidiomycota; Agaricomycetes; Cantharellales; Ceratobasidiaceae.